Molecule: ribosomal RNA, 460 nt
Filed under: uncultured bacterium
Lineage: Bacteria
Description: partial 16S ribosomal RNA
Rfam family: Bacterial small subunit ribosomal RNA
Source: RNAcentral
CCUACGGGUGGCAGCAGUGAGGAAUAUUGGUCACUGGACGAGAGUCUGAACCAGCCAAGUAGCGUGAAGGAUGACUGCCCUAUGGGUUGUCAACUUCUUUUAUCAAGGAAUCAAACGAGGCACGUGUGCCUUUUUGCAUGUACUUUAUGAAUAAGGAUCGGCUAACUCCGUGCCAGCAGCCGCGGUAAUACGGCGGAUACGCGCGUUAUCCGGAUUUAUUUGGUUUAAAGGGAGCGUAGAUGGGUUGUUAAGUCAUUUGUGAAAGUUUGCGGCUCAACCGUAAAAUUGCAAUGGAUACUGGCAGUCUGGAGUACAGUUGAGGUAGGCGGAAUUCGUGGUGUAGCGGUGAAAUGCUUAGAUAUCACGAAGAACCCCGAUUGCGAAGGCAGCUUACUAAACUGUGACUGACAUUGAUGCUCGAAAGUGUGGGUAUCAAACAGGAUUAGAUACCCCAGUAGUC